This 1061-nucleotide long non-coding RNA is filed under the name Chinchilla lanigera (long-tailed chinchilla). RNAcentral describes it as "lncRNA (ENSCLAG00000028914.1)". Lineage: Eukaryota; Metazoa; Chordata; Mammalia; Rodentia; Chinchillidae. The record is from RNAcentral.
GACAGGCUGGCACAGGUGCCAGCACGGCAGACAGAGGCAGGUGAGCAGGCAGGAUCUGAUCGGCUGGCACAGACACCGGCGUAGGAUGGCAGUGGCUUCAUUCACAGGGUGAUGAAGAGGAGAAGCUGGUUUGUCGCCACGCACUGCUCAGAUAAUGGCGGAAGCAAAGGCUCCUCUCAGCUCUAGGCAAACGGAAGCUAGGGACUGGGUAUGCUGAGGCUGGUGUCUGCACGCGCCGGAGGGGGCUGGGCUUCAGGACCCUGGACAGCGCCUCUGCCGCACCCGAGCACCAGGACCAGUGCUGAGGACGAUUAGGGAUGACAUUCGCAGGGUGGCUGGAACACAGACAACAUGAUAAGAGUGAGCGCUGGUCCCUGGCAUUGGAGGUGUCAGCAUCUGCUCUUCUGUCUCCCGUCUGUACUUGACAGGAGCUUGAGGAAGGCCUCUGAGUCUCUAGGCAGCGAGGCACAGGGACCAGAGCAUGCACCCUCACAAAGUAAGGUGAGCAGGAAAGGCAGCCAGGUGGACAGGCUGCCCCCUGCGCUUAGGGGACAAGCCCCGAGGGCACUGCCAGGCCCCACUGCACAGGAAAUGUGCAAAGUUUCCAAAUGAGAAGUGGAUUCAUUAGGGCUCUACAGGAAAACACAACCAACAGAAGGUAUGCAGGGAGAAGAGAGAGUGAGGGAGUAGGGUGGGGAAGGAAGGGAGGGGAGGAAGAACAGGAGAGGGAAGAAGAGAGAUUUUAAGGCAUCGGCUCAUACAACUAUGGUUGGCAGUCUAAAAUCUGCAGGUCAGGCCAGCUAACUGGGAAACCAGAGAACUGAUAUUAUAGCUCAAGUCUGGAGGGUGUGGACACAGAAUUUCUUCUUCAUCAGGGAACCUCAGUCUUUUAAGGCUUUUACCUGGUUGGGUAAGGCCCACUCACAUUAUGGAGGGUUAUCCGGUGUCCUCAUUGUCUGAUUUAAAUGCUAAUCACAUCUAAAAAUACCUUCUCAACACCACUGGAUCCCACGGCCUAGCCAAGAUGGUACCUACAGGUAACUAUCAUGGAAGGUGUCUAC